RNAcentral lists this long non-coding RNA (409 nucleotides) under Marmota monax (woodchuck). Lineage: Eukaryota; Metazoa; Chordata; Mammalia; Rodentia; Sciuridae. The record is from RNAcentral.
AUUUUCUCAGUUUUAAACCAUAAUAAAAAUUAAAUAAAGUUAAAAAGAUCAGAACAGUCUGGAAGUUAACAUUGUUUAUAUUCUUUAUUCAGAAAUAUUUUUAUUUUUUAUUGCAGUUUCAAGGCUAGACCUUGUGAAGGGAAUUCUUUUUCUGCCCCAGGAGUGAUCUUUUGGAUUGGUAAAAUGUGUUUUAUUACCUCUUUUUUCUUUAAAUCUUUGUUGUCUAAACAUCCACACAGAAGUACACUGUCAUCUUAAAAUUGUAGCCAUUUACUUGUGGUCGAGUAAUCCAUUUGCCUUUUACAGUUUUCAUUUUUCCAAAGGGUCCUUUGGCUAGUUUUGUGUUGAUAACUGUAUGAAGACAAAAAAUUUAAUACCACAAAAAAAGCAAAGCCCCCCUUUUCUAGUG